Molecule: long non-coding RNA, 604 nt
Organism: Cynoglossus semilaevis (tongue sole)
Lineage: Eukaryota; Metazoa; Chordata; Actinopteri; Pleuronectiformes; Cynoglossidae
Exons: 3
Source: RefSeq, a predicted model, not a curated record
AUGGAGAGUGUCAACAAGUCGGAUUCAUUUGGCAUCAUUGGACAAAUACUUUGCUCGCAACAAACAAAUAUAUUCAAAUAUAUACCUGGACACAAACGCUGUUACCUAAAAGGCAAACAAGACAAGGUUGACCGAAGGAGUCUCGACUUUAUGGCCUAACUUGUGACUCUAAAUCACGCUGCAAAGGUCUCUCUGUCACAUCCACUGUAAAUAUCAGGAGAACCUUGGCUUCUCCAGGGCCCUUAAUACGUGGCUGUUCACAUAAUGUUUAUGCUAACAUAACCUAACCAGCUGGGUCUCAUGUAAUCAUUUAACAGUAUGUAAUAGUAAAUGUCUGCUGGAUACAGAACAGCAGCUGUUAACUUUUGUCUUGUUUGUAUUUAAAUAUAGGUCCAGCUUUUCAUGACAUUAAAAUUGUGGCUUUAUUGAUUUGUUAUGUUUGGUGCAAAUCUUGUCGAUUGUUGCAGUUAUUUAAACACUCACUUCCUGUGCGGACGCUGCUUGCAAUAGGGUUGUCAUUCUUUUGACUUGCAACACAUACUGUACGACUCACAGUCAUAUUUCCUAAGAAGGGACCGUGAAUAAUUGAAAACUCACGUGUCCU